UUACCCAUUCUUCACCCGUUUUCAGUAUUAAUCAGCUCACGGGCAUAACCCGUUUAAAUGAACAUAACCGGAACAUAACCGGAUUUUAAUCAUCAAUGUAAUCUUUGCAUAUCUUUGCAUAUAUGGCAGGUAAUCCGAAUUCUCCUUCCUCUCGCGCAAUCGGCGCCGAUUCAGACCAUGGGAUUGUUUUACUACCCGGCUGUAAUUGUGGUUAGUCUUUAUGUCUAUGGAAUUUUGAUUUGAUUUCAUAAUACCUGCCUGCUGUGAUUUCUGACCACUCUUCGUUGAGAUUUGAGAUAAAGACUAACCACUCUUCGUUGCCGUCAUCGCGCGCAAUCAGUGCACAGCUCAUGGGAUGGAUUUAUUAUCUUCGCACCUUCCGGUGAAUAACUCGCAAAGUAGAGGUUGCAGAUUAAAUAAAGAGAAUCAAAUGACCAGAAUACUGUUCGGUGUCACGGGAAAACGCGAAUAUGCGCCCGGCACUGCUUUGCUUUGGAUGCCUUUCUUCUCCGACGCGCCGAAAACAUAAAAAAAAUCCAGGACCAAUCCUACCCCUCCUGCCAUUGUUAGUAGUACUUCGGAAUUUUGUGGUUCCAUUGGGUCUCCACUGUCCAAUAUUGAUCAGAAUACAUCCUUUGAUGUUCAGCUGAAAUCUAAAGCCAAAGUCAUCGGUAGAUCUCCGCUCGCUGCCUACCACCAGGAUUUGUCAGGAGCCUUCAAUGCUGCUUCCAGUGAUGCUGUAAAAGGUCUUAAUUUUAUGUAUUCAGGUCUGGACAUUAUUGUUGGGAUACCAUGGACAUGAUUCAACUUAUGCACAAAGGGAGUAUAUGAUGGCAGUCAAGAAAAUAGAGUACGAGGCUAUUAAGUUGCAGUGGCAGGUAUCUAGCUAAAUAUGAGGGUGCUUGGGCAUUUACUAAUGCACUGGUAUUUUAACACAUGGUACUCAUGGUUGUACAAUUGUUUUUUGAACAAGAGAGAGAGCCAAGAAAAGCCAAUUAUCAUGAUCAGACUCUAGGUUUCAGAUUUAUCAAAAUUCAAACAAUUUUACUGUUAAAAGCCAUGGAAGAUUGUUCAGGUUCAUUCAUUCUCCAUUUGGAUGAA
Daucus carota subsp. sativus is the source of this 1101-nucleotide RNA transcript. RefSeq lists it as uncharacterized. The transcript has 7 exons. NCBI's taxonomy places the organism in Eukaryota, Viridiplantae, Streptophyta, Magnoliopsida, Apiales, Apiaceae. The record is from RefSeq and is a predicted model, not a curated record.